UACGUAGGGUGCAAGCGUUGUCCGGAAUUAUUGGGCGUAAAGAGCUCGUAGGCGGUCUGUUGCGUCGGCUGUGAAAACCCGGGGCUCAACCCCGGGCCUGCAGCCGAUACGGGCAGACUAGAGUUCGGCAGGGGAGACUGGAAUUCCUGGUGUAGCGGUGAAAUGCGCAGAUAUCAGGAGGAACACCGGUGGCGAAGGCGGGUCUCUGGGCCGAUACUGACGCUGAUGCGCGAAAGCCAGGGGAGCGAACGGG
RNAcentral lists this ribosomal RNA (253 nucleotides) under uncultured bacterium. Its description in RNAcentral is "partial 16S ribosomal RNA". It matches the Rfam family "Bacterial small subunit ribosomal RNA", at positions 524 to 776 of the family's 1533-position model. The record is from RNAcentral.